RNAcentral lists this ribosomal RNA (446 nucleotides) under uncultured bacterium. RNAcentral's name for it is "partial 16S ribosomal RNA". It matches the Rfam family "Bacterial small subunit ribosomal RNA", at positions 338 to 795 of the family's 1533-position model. The record is from RNAcentral.
CCUACGGGAGGCUGCAGUCGAGAAUCAUUCACAAUGGGGGAAACCCUGAUGGUGCGACGCCGCGUGGGGGAAUGAAGGUCUUCGGAUUGUAAACCCCUGUCAUGUGGGAGCAAAUUAAAAAGAUAGUACCACAAGAGGAAGAGACGGCUAACUCUGUGCCAGCAGCAGCGGUAAUACAGAGGUCUCAAGCGUUGUUCGGAAUCCCUGGGCGUAAAGCGUGCGUAGGCUGUUGCGUAAGUCGUGUGUGAAAGGCGCGGGCCCAACCCGCGGACGGCACAUGAUACUGCGAGACUAGAGUAAUGGAGGGGGAACCGGAAUUCUCGGUGUAGCAGUGAAAUGCGUAGAUAUCGAGAGGAACACUCGUGGCGAAGGCGGGUUCCUGGACAUUAACUGACGCUGAGGCACGAAGGCCAGGGGAGCGAAAGGGAUUAGAUACCCCGGUAGUC